Mangifera indica (mango) is the source of this 500-nucleotide long non-coding RNA. RefSeq lists it as uncharacterized. The record is from RefSeq and is a predicted model, not a curated record. NCBI's taxonomy places the organism in Eukaryota, Viridiplantae, Streptophyta, Magnoliopsida, Sapindales, Anacardiaceae. The transcript has 2 exons.
CUCUAGAUCCAUAAAAUGUCAAGCAAUAUGAAUACUUUUUGUAAACUCAUCUGUUUUUUCCUCUUUGUUAUGGCCCUCCUCUCUAGCUCCUGGUUAGCACUUGCUGAUACCACUCUAAGCAAUAAUUUUAAUGGAAGGAAGCUUGGUGGUCAAGUUCGUGUACCUAGAAGUAAACCUCGUCAUUCCGGUCCAUCAAAACCAUAAAAGCCUCCGUACUAGUCCAAAUCUUGGCUCAAGAAGAGGAUAGUCUAUCAUCACCAAAAAAAAAAAACUUACAAAUGUUUACAUUACAUAUAUGCAAAACCACAAGUUAUUAAUGUUGAUGCCGCUAUGCCUAAAAGACCACCUCUCCAAUAAAUCACUCUGGUUCAACUUUUAAGGCCGGCCCUUUUGUAGUAUUUUUGAUUAGUUAUAAGUACUCAAUAAAAGGAUUUGCAAACAUUGAAUUGUUUGUUGCUAUGAUGCAGUUUAAGAAAUAAUAAGUGGUUAUGCAUUAGAAA